RNAcentral lists this ribosomal RNA (209 nucleotides) under uncultured bacterium. RNAcentral's name for it is "partial 16S ribosomal RNA". The stretch from base 3 to 184 matches the Rfam family "Bacterial small subunit ribosomal RNA", at positions 570 to 751 of the family's 1533-position model. The record is from RNAcentral.
UGCGUAGGUGGCGGGGUAAGUCAGGUGUGAAAUUUCGGAGCUUAACUCCGAAACUGCAUUUGAUACUGCCUUGCUUGAGGACUGGAGAGGAGACUGGAAUUCACGGUGUAGCAGUGAAAUGCGUAGAGAUCGUGAGGAAGACCAGUGGCGAAGGCGGGUCUCUGGACAGUUCCUGACACUGAGGACAAGGCCAGGGGGACGACGAAACG